RNAcentral lists this ribosomal RNA (460 nucleotides) under uncultured bacterium. RNAcentral describes it as "partial 16S ribosomal RNA". It matches the Rfam family "Bacterial small subunit ribosomal RNA", at positions 338 to 795 of the family's 1533-position model. The record is from RNAcentral.
CCUACGGGGGGCUGCAGUGAGGAAUAUUGGUCAAUGGACGAGAGUCUGAACCAGCCAAGUAGCGUGAAGGAUGACUGCCCUAUGGGUUGUAAACUUCUUUUAUAAAGGAAUAAAACGAGGCACGUGUGCCUUUUUGCAUGUACUUUAUGAAUAAGGAUCGGCUAACUCCGUGCCAGCAGCCGCGGUAAUACGGAGGAUACGAGCGUUAUCCGGAUUGAUUGGGUUUAAGGGGAGCGUAGAUGGGUUGUUAAGUCAGUUGUGAAAGUUUGCGGCUCAACCGUAAAAUUGCAAUUGAUACUGGCAGUCUUGAGUACAGUUGAGGUAGGCGGAAUUCGUGGUGUAGCGGUGAAAUGCUUAGAUAUCACGAAGAACCCCGAUUGCGAAGGCAGCUUACUAAACUGUGACUGACAUUGAUGCUCGAAAGUGUGGGUAUCAAACAGGAUUAGAUACCCUUGUAGUC